Molecule: ribosomal RNA, 468 nt
Filed under: uncultured bacterium
Lineage: Bacteria
Description: partial 16S ribosomal RNA
Rfam family: Bacterial small subunit ribosomal RNA
Source: RNAcentral
GACGAACGCUGGCGGCGUGCUUAACACAUGCAAGUCGAACGGAAAGGCCCUGCUUUUGUGGGGUUCUCGAUUGGCGAACGGGUGAGUAACACGUGAGUAACCUGCCCUUGACUUUGUGAUAACUUCAGGAAACUGGGGCUAAUACCGGGUAGGAGCUCCUGCUGCAUAGUGUGGGAUGGUAAGUGUCGGCGGUUGGGGAUGUAAUCGCGGCUUAUCAGCUUGUUGGUGGGGUAGUGGCUUACCAGGGCUUUGACGGAUAGCCGGCAUGAGAGGGUUACCGGCCACAUUGGGACUGAGAUACGGAGCAGAAUACUACGGGACGCAGCAGUGGAGAAUAUUGCACAAUGGGCGGAAGCCUGAUGAAGAAACGCCGCGUGCGGGAUGACGGCCUUCGGGUUGUAAACCGAUUUCGAAUGUGACGAAGAGUGAGUGACGGUAAUGGGUAAAGAAGCAACGGCUAACUACGUG